This 1785-nucleotide ribosomal RNA is filed under the name Pyropia kuniedae. RNAcentral's name for it is "SSU rRNA". It matches the Rfam family "Eukaryotic small subunit ribosomal RNA". The record is from RNAcentral. Lineage: Eukaryota; Rhodophyta; Bangiophyceae; Bangiales; Bangiaceae.
GUAGUCAUAUGCUUGUCUCAAAGACUAAGCCAUGCAUGUCUAAGUAUAAACACUUUUAUACUCGUGAAACUGCGAAUGGCCCAUUAAAACAGUUAUAGUUCCUUUGGGAACAACACUACUUGGAUAACCGUAGUAAUUCUAGAGCUAAUACAUGCCUCAACGCCCGACUCACGAAGGGUGGUAUUUAUUGGAUAAAAAACCAUCGUGCUCUGUCCAGAGCGCUUUGAGAUGAUUCACAAUAACUUGUCGGAUCGCAUGGCCUCGUGCUGGCGACUCCUCAUUCAAAUUUCUGCCCUAUCAACUUUCGAUGGUAGAGUAUUGGUCUACCAUGGUGUCGACGGGUGACGGGGAAUUAGGGUUCGAUUCCGGAGAGGGAGCCUGAGAAACGGCUACCACAUCCAAGGAAGGCAGCAGGCGCGCAAAUUACCCAAUCCCCGACUCGGGGAGGUAGUGACAAAAAAUAACAAUAGGGGGCCCUUUGGGUCUUCUAAUUGGAAUGAGAACAAUUUAAAUCCCUUAUCGAAGGAUCCAUUGGAGGGCAAGUCUGGUGCCAGCAGCCGCGGUAAUUCCAAGCUGGAAUAGGGUAUAUUAAAGUUGUGCAGUUAAAACGCUCGUAGUCGGACCUCGAAGCGCCCCCACGGGCCGGGCUUUUUGCCUUGUUGCCAGUGGAAGUUUGUCUCCUUUUGUCGGACGCGGUGUGCAGGGCCUUUACUGUCUCUGCGCGUUUACCUGCGGGCCGACCGUUUACUGUGAAGAAAGUAAAGUGUUCAAAGCAGGCCAAUGCCUUGAAUAUGUGAGCAUGGAAUAAUAGAAUAGGACUUGGGCUCUAUUUUGUUGGUUUCCAGUGACCAAGUAAUGAUUAAUAGGGACGGUUGGGGGCAUUCGUAUUUCAUUGUCAGAGGUGAAAUUCUUGGAUUGAUGGAAGACGUACAACUGCGAAAGCAUCUGCCAUGGAUGUUUUCAUUGAUCAAGAACGAAAGUUAGGGGAUCGAAGACGAUCAGAUACCGUCGUAGUCUUAACCAUAAACGAUGCCGACUGGGGAUUGGCGGGGGCACUUUUAUAUGACUCUGUCAGCACCCUGAGGGAAACCAAAGUCUUUGGGUUCUGGGGGGAGUAUGGUCGCAAGGCUGAAACUUAAAGGAAUUGACGGAAGGGCACCACCAGGCGUGGAGCCUGCGGCCUAAUUUGACUCAACACGGGAAAACUUACCAGGUCCAGACAUAGGAAGGAUUGACAGAUUGAUAGCUCUUUCUUGAUUCUGUGGGUGGUGGUGCAUGGCCGUUCUUAGUUGGUGGGUUGCCUUGUCAGGUUGAUUCCGGUAACGAACGAGACCUCAGCCUGCUAAAUAGUGACGAUUGCUUUGGCAGUUGGCCCGCUUCUUAGAGGGACUGUUGGCGUCUAGCCAAUGGAAGUAUGAGGCAAUAACAGGUCUGUGAUGCCCUUAGAUGUUCUGGCCGCACGCGCGGCUACACUGAUACGUUCAACAAGUUCCUAGGCCGAAGGUCCGGGUAAUCUUUGAAACCGUAUCGUGAUGGGGAUAGAACAUUGCAAUUAUUGUUCUUCAACGAGGAAUGCCUAGUAAGCGUGAGUCAUCAUCUCGCGUUGAUUACGUCCCUGCCCUUUGUACACACCGCCCGUCGCUCCUACCGAUUGAACGUGCCGGUGAAGAGUUCGGAUUGGAGUCUUGGCUAGGUUUCCUAGCCCUGAUUCCGAGAAGUUCUUUAAACCCUCCCGUUUAGAGGAAGGAGAAGUCGUAACAAGGUUUCCGUAGGUGAACCUGCGGA